AGAGUUUGAUCCUGGCUCAGGCUGAACGCUGGCAGCAUGGAUAAGGCAUGCAAGUCGAGAGGGUUUAGACCCUCGGCAAACGGGUUAGUAACACGUAGGGAAUUCCCCCGGAAGUGGAGAAUAACCCGCCGAAAGGCGGGAUAAUACUCCAUGGUCCUCUAUAACUUCGGUUAUAUAGGUAAAGAUUUAUCGCUUCCGGAGAAUCCUGCGUCCUAUCAGCUAGUUGGUAAGGUAACGGCUUACCAAGGCUACGACGGGUAGGGGGUGUGAGAGCAUGACCCCCAACACUGGAACUGAGAACUGUCCAGACACCUACGGGUGGCUGCAGUCGAGAAUCUUCGGCAAUGCACGAAAGUGUGACCGAGCGAUGCUGCGUGCAGGAAGAAGGCCUUCGGGUUGUAAACUGCUGUCGUGUGGGAAGAACUUUGACGGUACCACACAAGAAAGGGGCGCCUAACUUCGUGCCAGCAGGCGCGGUAAUACGAAGGCCCCAAGCGUUAGCCGGAAUAACUGGGCGUAAAGCGUCUGUAGGUGGAAUAGCACGUCUGCUGUUAAAUCUGAGGGCUCAACCCUCUAGGCUGCGGUGGAUACGGCUAUUCUUGAGGUAUGGAGAGGUAAGCGGAACUCCUGGUGGAGCGGUGAAAUGCGUUGAUAUCAGGGGGAACACCAAUUGCGAAGGCAGCUUACUGGCCAUGUCCUGACACUGAGAGACGAAAGCGUGGGGAGCGAAUGGGAUUAGAUACCCCCGUAGUCC
RNAcentral lists this ribosomal RNA (754 nucleotides) under uncultured soil bacterium. Its description in RNAcentral is "bacterial SSU rRNA". It matches the Rfam family "Bacterial small subunit ribosomal RNA", at positions 8 to 796 of the family's 1533-position model. The record is from RNAcentral.